Molecule: small nuclear RNA, 37 nt
Filed under: Cervus elaphus hippelaphus
Lineage: Eukaryota; Metazoa; Chordata; Mammalia; Artiodactyla; Cervidae
Source: RNAcentral
GUGCUCGCUUCGGCAGCACAUAUACUAGAAUACGAUA